UACGGCCGCAAGGCUGAAAACUAAAAAGGAAUUGGCGGGGGAGCACCACAACGGGUGGAGCUUGCGGUUUAAUUGGAAUCAACGCCGGAAAUCUUACCGGGACCGACAGCGAUAUGAAGGCCAGGCUGAAGACUUUGCCGGAUUAGCUGAGAGGUGGUGCAUGGCCGUCGUCAGUUCGUACUGUGAAGCAUCCUGUUAAGUCAGGCAACGAGCGAGACCCACGCCCACAGUUGCCAGCGUACUCUCCGGAGUGAUGGGUACACUGUGGGGACCGCCGCUGCUAAAGCGGAGGAAGGAAUGGGCAACGGUAGGUCAGUAUGCCCCGAAUAUCCCGGGCUACACGCGAGCUACAAUGGUUGGUACAAUGGGUAUCUACCCCGAGAGGGGAUGGCAAUCUCCUAAAACCAAUCUUAGUUCGGAUUGAGGGCUGCAACUCGCCCUCAUGAAGCUGGAAUCCGUAGUAAUCGCGUUUCAACAGAACGCGGUGAAUACGUCCCUGCUCCUUGCACACACCGCCCGUCAAACCACCCGAGUAGGGUCUGAAUGAGAGCGCUUACCAAUCGGAGGCGUUCGAAUUUGGGCUUUACAAGGGGGGUUAAGUCGUAACAAGGUAACCAAGGGCGAA
RNAcentral lists this ribosomal RNA (625 nucleotides) under uncultured archaeon. Its description in RNAcentral is "bacterial SSU rRNA". It matches the Rfam family "Archaeal small subunit ribosomal RNA", at positions 836 to 1457 of the family's 1478-position model. The record is from RNAcentral.